ACCUGUUGCCGUAAUAUAUAGAUGCUCCUGCGGAGUCUGACCUAGGAAGCUAAGUAUGGUCGAACCUUGUAAGAACUUGGUUGGGAGACCGCUUGGGAAUACCGGGUACUCAAGGAU
This 117-nucleotide ribosomal RNA is filed under the name Choloepus hoffmanni (Hoffmann's two-fingered sloth). Lineage: Eukaryota; Metazoa; Chordata; Mammalia; Pilosa; Megalonychidae. The record is from RNAcentral.